GCCAUAGCAAACUCCGAAUACCGAAGCGUGCAAUCACGGGAGACAGAUAUCGGGUGCUAACGUCCGAUGUCGAGAGGGUAACAACCCAGACCGCCAGCUAAGGUCCCGAAGACUGGCUCAGUGGGAAACGCGGUGGGAAGGCCCAAACAGUCAGGAGGUUGGCUUAGAAGCAGCCAUCCUUUAAAGAAAGCGUAAUAGCUCACUGAUCGAGUCGUCCUGCACGGAAGAUGUAACGGGGCUAAGCCAGUCACCGAAGCUGUGGAUGUGUUUAUUUUUCGGAAUAGAUGCAUGGUAGGAGAGCGUUCCGUAGGCCUGAGAAGGCGCCUUGAGAGGGGUGCUGGAGGUAUCGGAAGUGCGAAUGCUGACAUGAGUAGCGAUCAAGGGGGUGAAGGGCCCCCUCGCCGUAAGCCCAAGGUUUCCUGCGCAACGUUCAUCGGCGCAGGGUGAGUCGGCCCCUAAGGCGAGGCAGAAAUGCGUAGCUGAUGGGAAGCAGGUUAAGAUUCCUGCACCGUCGUAAGAUGCGAUGGGGGGACGGAUCGCAAAAGGUUGUCC
This 552-nucleotide ribosomal RNA is filed under the name Candidatus Glomeribacter gigasporarum. Its description in RNAcentral is "bacterial LSU rRNA". It matches the Rfam family "Bacterial large subunit ribosomal RNA", at positions 943 to 1492 of the family's 2925-position model. The record is from RNAcentral. Lineage: Bacteria; Pseudomonadati; Pseudomonadota; Betaproteobacteria; Burkholderiales; Burkholderiaceae.